GUGAUUUCUUUGUAUCUGCUUAAGGCUGACGGGUAGAGAUAUCAGAUAUAUUUACUGGUGGGAGGUAGUAGGUACGUAGUGGCAUGGGAAGGCUUUAACCUGCUUACUCGAUUUUUUUUCCGUGUGUACUGCAACUUAGAACUCUUUGGAGUGUGAUGUUCAUGUAGCAUGUCAUAUUCCUCCGGGGAUAUUUUAAAAUGAAAUCGUGUUAGUUCAUAGGUUUCUGUGAGUGAUGAAUAAUUUUGGUUUGAAAAAUGGUGAUAGUUUAAGAUAUUUUUCACCUAAGUCUUUUAGC
Molecule: unclassified non-coding RNA, 295 nt
Filed under: Hevea brasiliensis (rubber tree)
Lineage: Eukaryota; Viridiplantae; Streptophyta; Magnoliopsida; Malpighiales; Euphorbiaceae
Source: RNAcentral